GAUGAACGCUGGCGGCAUGCCUAAUACAUGCAAGUCGAACGAAGUGAAGGUAGCUUGCUACUCGAUCUUAGUGGCGAACGGGUGAGUAACACGUAGGUAACCUGCCUAUAUGACGGGGAUAACUAUUGGAAACGAUAGCUAAUACCGGAUAGGUAAAGAGAAGGCAUCUUCCCUUUAUUAAAGUUGGGAUACAACACAUAUGGAUGGACCUGCGGCGCAUUAGCUAGUUGGUGGGGUAACGGCCUACCAAGGCGACGAUGCGUAGCCGACCUGAGAGGGUGAUCGGCCACACUGGGACUGAGACACGGCCCAGACUCCUACGGGAGGCAGCAGUAGGGAAUUUUCCACAAUGGACGCAAGUCUGAUGGAGCAACGCCGCGUGUGCGAAGAAGGCCUUCGGGUUGUAAAGCACUGUUGUAAGGGAAGAAUGGAUAGGAGAGGAAAUGCUCUUAUUAUGACGGUACCUUACCAGAAAGCCACGGCUAACUACGUGCCAGCAGCCGCCGUAAAAC
RNAcentral lists this ribosomal RNA (512 nucleotides) under uncultured bacterium. Its description in RNAcentral is "bacterial SSU rRNA". It matches the Rfam family "Bacterial small subunit ribosomal RNA", at positions 28 to 526 of the family's 1533-position model. The record is from RNAcentral.